Molecule: ribosomal RNA, 457 nt
Filed under: uncultured bacterium
Lineage: Bacteria
Description: bacterial SSU rRNA
Rfam family: Bacterial small subunit ribosomal RNA
Source: RNAcentral
UUUAAGCUUCCUACGGGAGGCUGCAGUGGGGAAUCUUGCGCAAUGGGCGAAAGCCUGACGCAGCCAUGCCGCGUGAAUGAUGAAGGUCUUAGGAUUGUAAAAUUCUUUCACCGGGGACGAUAAUGACGGUACCCGGAGAAGAAGCCCCGGCUAACUUCGUGCCAGCAGCCGCGGUAAUACGAAGGGGGCUAGCGUUGCUCGGAAUUACUGGGCGUAAAGGGAGCGUAGGCGGACAUUUAAGUCAGGGGUGAAAUCCCGGGGCUCAACCUCGGAAUUGCCUUUGAUACUGGGUGUCUUGAGUAUGAGAGAGGUGUGUGGAACUCCGAGUGUAGAGGUGAAAUUCGUAGAUAUUCGGAAGAACACCAGUGGGGAAGGCGACACACUGGCUCAUUACUGACGCUGAGGCUCGAUUUAAAGGGGAGCAAACAGGAUUAGAUACCCUUGUAGUCGAAUUCUU